RNAcentral lists this ribosomal RNA (468 nucleotides) under uncultured bacterium. RNAcentral's name for it is "partial 16S ribosomal RNA". It matches the Rfam family "Bacterial small subunit ribosomal RNA", at positions 28 to 507 of the family's 1533-position model. The record is from RNAcentral.
GACGAACGCUGGCGGCGUGCUUAGCACAUGCAAGUCGAACGGAAAGGCCCUGCUUUUGUGGGGUGCUCGAGUGGCGAACGGGUGGGUAACACGUGAGUAACCUGCCCUUGACUUUGGGAUAACUUCAGGAAACUGGGGCUAAUACCGGAUAGGAGCUCCUGCUGCAUGGUGGGGGUUGGAAAGUUUCGGCGGUUGGGGAUGGACUCGCGGCUUAUCAGCUUGUUGGUGGGGUAGUGGCUUACCAAGGCUUUGACGGGUAGCCGGCCUGAGAGGGUGACCGGCCACAUUGGGACUGAGAUACGGCCCAGACUCCUACGGGAGGCAGCAGUGGGGAAUAUUGCACAAUGGGCGGAAGCCUGAUGCAGCAACGCCGCGUGCGGGAUGACGGCCUUCGGGUUGUAAACCGCUUUCGCCUGUGACGAAGCGUGAGUGACGGUAAUGGGUAAAGAAGCACCGGCUAACUACGUG